RNAcentral lists this transfer RNA (73 nucleotides) under Crassvirales sp. Its description in RNAcentral is "tRNA-Thr". It matches the Rfam family "tRNA". From Rfam's summary of the family: Transfer RNA (tRNA) molecules are approximately 80 nucleotides in length. Lineage: Duplodnaviria; Heunggongvirae; Uroviricota; Caudoviricetes; Crassvirales. The record is from RNAcentral.
AUACAUUAGCUCAUUUGGUAGAGCAAAAGAUUUGUAAUCUUUGAGUAGCUGGUUCAAUUCCAGUAUGUGAAUA